This 407-nucleotide ribosomal RNA is filed under the name uncultured bacterium. Its description in RNAcentral is "partial 16S ribosomal RNA". It matches the Rfam family "Bacterial small subunit ribosomal RNA", at positions 30 to 526 of the family's 1533-position model. The record is from RNAcentral.
AUUGAACGCUGGCGGCAGGCCUAACACAUGCAAGUCGAGCGGAGCGGCGGACGGGUGAGUAAUGCCUAGGACUCUGACUGGUAGUGGGGGAUAACGUUCGGUAACGGGCGCUAAUACUGCAUCCUCUCAGAUGAGCCUAGGCCGGAUUAGCUAGUUGGUGGGGUAAAGGCCUACCAAGGCGACGAUCCGUAUCUGGUCUGAGAGGAUGAUCAGUCACACUGGAACUGAGACACGGUCCAGACGCCUACGGGAGGCAGCAGUGGGGAAUAUUGGACAAUGGGCGCAAGCCUGAUGCAGCCAUGCCGCGUGUAUGAAGAAGGCCUUCGGGUUGUAAAGUACUUUCAGCGGGGAGGCGUUACCCGCAGAAGAAGCACCGGCUAACUCCGUGCCAGCAGCCGCGGUAAUUC